GGAGCAACUCGGCCUUUUGGCUCAGCUCAAGUGUAAUAUACCAGUUUAAUACCUGACGUGUGAGUUAUUGGUCUUGGUAUUAUGUUAUAUUUUUUUAGGAGGAGGGCCCAUCAUCGUAGCUUGCUACCGGAGCUCUUGCCGUCUUGCGUGUUGGUUUUUCGUUGCUCUAUUGUAUUUGGCAGGCGCGCCUUU
Molecule: small nuclear RNA, 192 nt
Organism: Populus nigra (black poplar)
Lineage: Eukaryota; Viridiplantae; Streptophyta; Magnoliopsida; Malpighiales; Salicaceae
Product: U2 spliceosomal RNA
Exons: 1
Source: RefSeq, a predicted model, not a curated record